AGCGUCCAUCAGGUUCUUGGCCUGGGCUGC
Molecule: non-coding RNA, 30 nt
Filed under: Homo sapiens (human)
Lineage: Eukaryota; Metazoa; Chordata; Mammalia; Primates; Hominidae
Source: RNAcentral